GAUGAACGCUGGCGGCGUGCCUAAUACAUGCAAGUCGAGCGAACAGACGAGGAGCUUGCUCCUCUGACGUUAGCGGCGGACGGGUGAGUAACACGUGGAUAACAUACCGAUAACUCUGGGAGAACAACGGGAAACCAGAGCGAAUAACGCAUAAUAUAUUGGACCGCUUGGUUCAAUAGUCUAAGACGGUUUUGGUUUCACUUGUAGAUGGACCCGCGCCGCAUUAGCUAGUUGGUAGGGUAAUGGCUUACCAAGGCAGCGAUGCGUAGCCGACCUGAGAGGGUGGUCGGCCGCACUGGAACUGAGGAACGGUCCAGACUCCUACGGGGGGCAGCAGUAGGGAAUCUUACGGAAUGGGCGAAGGAUGGAUGGAGCAGCGCCGCGGGAGUGAUGAUGGUCUUCGGCUCGUAAAGCUCUGUUAUUAGGGAAGAACAAGUGUUUAAGUAUCUAUGCGCGUGUUGACGGUACCUGGUCAGAAAGCCCCGGCUAACUACGUG
RNAcentral lists this ribosomal RNA (497 nucleotides) under uncultured bacterium. RNAcentral describes it as "partial 16S ribosomal RNA". It matches the Rfam family "Bacterial small subunit ribosomal RNA", at positions 28 to 507 of the family's 1533-position model. The record is from RNAcentral.